CGAAAUGCUUGCCUGCCGUUGUCCUUCCUCUCCCUCCCUUGCUAGAUUGGAAUCACGAAAUUCACGAUCCUCGACACAAUUUGAUCGAUUCAUGGAUAAACUGAUAAAGGAUGCGAGGAGGCGGUUAAGAAGCUCAAGCCGCUAGGAGCUCAUGAUGGAAGAGAAACUGCAGGUGUGGCCUUGUAUUUAGGACUCGAUGGAUCGGAUGAACAACGUUGUUACUCUCCUCUUU
This 232-nucleotide long non-coding RNA is filed under the name Setaria italica (foxtail millet). Its description in RNAcentral is "long non-coding RNA (SITA_LNC007018)". Lineage: Eukaryota; Viridiplantae; Streptophyta; Magnoliopsida; Poales; Poaceae. The record is from RNAcentral.